GCAGACUGAGAACAUGUUAAACCACUUGGGAUCGAGGCACCAGAGAAAUUUGGUGUCAAGUCCCCUUCUCGUGUAUAUGCAUUUGACCUCAAGUGCUUAUACUAUGGGCUAACGAACCCCGGCGCGGUAUGCGCCAAGGAAUACUCGUAGAUGCAUCCGCCUUCAACGCCCCGUACUCGGUGUGCGAUGUUUGUAGGAAUGUCUCUGUAAAGUCUAAACGACUCUCGGCAACGGAUAUCUCGGCUCUUGCAUCGAUGAAGAACGUAGCGAAAUGCGAUACUUGGUGUGAAUUGCAGAAUCCCGUGAACCAUCGAGUCUUUGAACGCAAGUUGCGCCCAAAACCACUUGGUUGAGGGCACGUCUGCCUGGGUGUCACGCAUCGCGUCACCCCCAUAUCUAUCCCAUACAUGGUGAUUUAGUUUGGGGGCGGAUAUUGACCCCCCGUGUACAUUAGUAUGUGGUCGGUCUAAAUGAGAACCUGUGGCAACUCGUGUCACGAUAAGUGGUGGUUGAAUACUCAACUUUCGUGUUAUCGUGUCAAAUGUAGUUGCAUGCUGGCAUCGUAACAAACCCAAAGGCUUGAUCCACUCAAGCUUUCGACCGCGACCCCAGGUCAG
RNAcentral lists this ribosomal RNA (617 nucleotides) under Bellardia viscosa. RNAcentral's name for it is "eukaryotic LSU rRNA". The stretch from base 220 to 375 matches the Rfam family "5.8S ribosomal RNA". Lineage: Eukaryota; Viridiplantae; Streptophyta; Magnoliopsida; Lamiales; Orobanchaceae. The record is from RNAcentral.